Molecule: ribosomal RNA, 253 nt
Filed under: uncultured bacterium
Lineage: Bacteria
Description: partial 16S ribosomal RNA
Rfam family: Bacterial small subunit ribosomal RNA
Source: RNAcentral
UACGAACUGUGCGAACGUUAUUCGGAUUCACUGGGCUUAAAGGGUGCGUAGGCGGCCAUUCAAGUAGGGUGUGAAAUCCUCCGGCUCAACCGGAGAACGGCGCUCUAAACUGGAUGGCUGGAGUAAGUCAGGGGUGUGUGGAACUUCCGGUGGAGCGGUGAAAUGUGUUGAUAUCGGAAGGAACGCCGGUGGCGAAAGCGACACACUGGGGCUUAACUGACGCUGAGGCACGAAAGCCAGGGGAGCGAACGGG